Molecule: ribosomal RNA, 496 nt
Filed under: uncultured bacterium
Lineage: Bacteria
Description: partial 16S ribosomal RNA
Rfam family: Bacterial small subunit ribosomal RNA
Source: RNAcentral
GAUGAACGCUGGCGGCGUGCCUAAUACAUGCAAGUCGAGCGAACGGACUAGAAGCUUGCUUCUCUGAUGUUAGCGGCGGACGGGUGAGUAACACGUGGAUAACCUACCUAUAAGACUGGGAUAACUUCGGGAAACCGUAGCUAAUACCGGAUAAUAUUUUGAACCGCAUGGUUCAAAAGUGAAAGACGGUCUUGCUGUCACUUAUAGAUGGAUCCGCGCUGCAUUAGCUAGUUGGUAAGGUAACGGCUUACCAAGGCAACGAUGCAUAGCCGACCUGAGAGGGUGAUCGGCCACACUGGAACUGAGACACGGUCCAGACUCCUACGGGAGGCAGCAGUAGGGAAUCUUCCGCAAUGGGCGAAAGCCUGACGGAGCAACGCCGCGUGAGUGAUGAAGGUCUUCGGAUCGUAAAACUCUGUUAUUAGGGAAGAACAUAUGUGUAAGUAACUGUGCACAUCUUGACGGUACCUAAUCAGAAAGCCACGGCUAACUACGU